RNAcentral lists this long non-coding RNA (5462 nucleotides) under Olea europaea subsp. europaea. The record is from RNAcentral. Lineage: Eukaryota; Viridiplantae; Streptophyta; Magnoliopsida; Lamiales; Oleaceae.
AAAAAAAUAAAUAUUCACUAACAGAAGUCAAUUUUUAUUUUCUACUUUUCUUCAGGUUGAAAAAUUCGAGCAGUAUACCCAGUGACUGCUUAUCAUAGUGUUUCUAAUAUUUUCACUGCACUAUUUGAUACUCUUUUGGUAUCCGUAUGUGCUUUAGUCCUAGAGUGAGGCAGAAGCUAAUGAGGCAAUCUUAUUGAGGAUCUCGAUGUAAUGUUUCAUAGUUUGAUUUUGUUAAUGCAGAAAUUCUUGUCUAUAUUGCUUUGCGGCUUGCAUUCCAGAGUCUGGGAGUAGUGUAUGGAGACUUGGGAACAUCUCCAUUGUAUGUGUUCUACAAUACUUUUCCCAAUGGGAUAGAUGAUACAGAGGAUAUUAUUUGUGCUCUUUCAUUAAUUAUCUAUUCGCUUACGCUAAUACCUCUCCUCAAGUACGUUUUCAUAGUAUGUGGAGCAAAUGACAGUGGUCAAGGUAAGCUGAUGUCAUGCUACAAAAUGUUGUGAUUAUUUAUGCAUAUUUCAAUUUAAGCAGGUUAUGAGAUUGUUACUUCCGACAUAUCAUCAUUGGUAGCCUUAAUUGUUUCUAGUAAUGAAUACUUUUGUCUCUUUGCCUGUGAGUAUGUGUUAUAAAACUGGUGAUGUUAGCACUAGUCGAAAGGCAUCUUUAAUUGGCUGAGAAGCGUGCUUUAUUUGUUAUUUGUAUAAUGCAAGGAUCAGUUUACGUAUGGAUUAGUAGGAAAAUGCCUCAAAUUUUGCCCCCAAGAAUCGAACAUCAGCGUCUUAUAUAUACAUCAAUGACUAGUGUUUCUUUAAUCUUUUGCAAACCUCCAGUUAUAGUUACUUUUUUGGAUCGUCUAUCAUUGAUGAAUUGUUGGAAGAUUCUUGUCAGAGUUUUUUCUUAAAGAAUUAAAUUAGAACACAAGUCUUGUAAUCUGCAAAUAUGUCCUAUGAUGGAAUGUUUUCCAGGAACCAUCUGUCCAUGUUGAUUUGGGGGGACUUGAGAGCAGAUAUGUCAUAACAAAGGAAUGCCAGGAGGCUAAUAAAUUAGUGGAAAUUGGGGAUGCAUCAUUUCAUUAACAUUAUAAUCACAUUUAUUAUCCUUACCUUUCGAAGAUAUGGUAGUAAAAGGGAAACACCGGCAUGUUCUAAGCAAUAUAUUCAUCCUACAAAUUUUGGUAUUGGUCAUAUGACUCGGUUGAGUAUAAAAUUGUGAGAAGCUGUUAAGUUGAUUCAGUUAGCCUUUCUGACUGACUUAAAAAUAAAUCAGGGGGUUAAUUGUCUUCUUGAAAAAUAGAAGUCAGGGGGUUAAUAUUCUUCAGUAAGAGUAUCCUGAAAAUGAUGACAAUGUAUGUUGAGAUAAAUUGGAGAUUAAUUGAAAAGUCAAAGAAACUGAGUUUGGAUUAGUUGACUGAGAGUUCUAAUUAUUAUUCCAAAUUUCACUCGUCUUUGUCUCUGGGUGUGCAUAUAGAAAGAUGAAAAAGAAAACAAAAUUGACACUUUGGACAUUAUUCAGGGGCACCUUUGCACUUUAUUCAUUACUUUGUCGACAUGCCAAAGUCAAAACAAUCCCAACCAACACCGCACUGAUGAGGAGCUGACAACUUACAGCCGUAGCACAUUCCAUGAGCUUUCAUUUGCAGCGAAAACGAAGAGAUGGCCGGAGGCGAAUACAUUUAGAAAGAAUGCUCUUCUUAUACUAGUACUUGUUGGCACUUGCAUGGUUGUUGGGAAUGGAAUUCUCACUCCUGCUAUAUCAGGUAAUUUAUGUCUUUCACCUAUAGUUUCCUUUAUUCAUGCUUGUACAUUUUCAUGUUAAUUUUCCAACUGACUUGUAUUGCACGGAAACAUGUAUGCCUUCAUUGGAGGCAGUCCUGUGUAUGUAGUUGGAGAUUGUAGUUUAUGAGAUGCUUCUUACUUCAGAUUGAAGGCAAUAUGUGAACAAUGCCACAUUUCCUUUUCUCAGUGAUGCAUGUGGCAAUAGAUGAAAUUUGUUUACAGGUCUUCCCUUCAAAAAGGAACCAAAGAGAACUGAUAAAUUUUGUCCAUUUUCUCCAACGAUGGCAACAGAUGCCAAUAUCUCAAGCGAUUGCAUAAAACUAACGCUAAUUUCUGAUUUUGGAUCUAUUUAUAGGAUUCAUGGUUUGCAGUCCCAGAAGCAUAAAUUGAAUUCACCAGACUCUUUAGUUUCUAAUUGGGAUGACAAACUAUUUUGAAAUCACAAACAACACAUGUUGCCAACAUGUCUGAAACUUUACGGCUUCUUUAGCACAAGAUGAUAGUCUUUUUCAGCAAUUGGAAUUUUGACUGUAGGUUAUCAACCACCAUCAAUUUAGUUGUUCUUUUAACGCUGGAUGUUCAGAUCAGGUUAAAAUGAGCAUAUUUGUAUAGGUCUUGAUAUGAGUGAAAAAAGGGGGCUGUUCAUGUGCUAAUUUGCUGCCACACUCCACCCCCACCAAUUGGGAUUUUGAUUGUUCAUUUCUUGCUUAUUGACAUAAAAAUAAAAUUCCUAAGAGGAAGUUUGAGUCAUACCACAUUAAUAUUUUAAUUGGAAGCUUUGUAAAUAUUUCAUUGUAAUAAAUGCAAAUGUGACUGGGCACAAGCUGAUGCAUGAUUUUAGAGCCCACAGUAGGGAUCACAAAGUAGUAGUAGUGUGAAUAGAAUGAUGCAUAAUUUGCCCAGUUCUCUUGCUCAUCUAUGGCUUAAGUAAUCCAUGUAUCAAAAUCAAAUUCAUUACAUCCUUAUACUCUGGAAAUCAAGUGAUAUAGAAUUGUAGUGAUUUUUCGGGCUGGCUUAGUUUUGUUUCAUUAUAUUUCUCCCUUAUAACAUGACAACCUUAGAUUAAUCCAUUGAUUCUUUAGUUCAUACAACCACAUCUUUAGGGAAAAUAUCAAAUCCAUAUAAUCCAAAACACCCACUUUCUAUUCUCAUACAAGAAGGUACUUUCUCAAUAGCUUUUUGAGAUUACUGAAAAAUUGAGAAAAGUUGGACAGAAGCAUAGGUAGAAUACAAGAACAAGGAGUUUUUCAUGAUCCACCAGAGAUAUACAAUUCUAAAAGAUCAGGAAUAUGUGUGAGUUAAGCACAUUUCAAUGGGUCUUGGAAAUUGCAGGAAGUAGAUCAACAAGUCUAGUGGGAUCUCAAAAAACUAUAAGUCUAGUGGGAUCUCGACAAUUCUAAAGGUUGGAUCGUAUUGUAAGUUCAUUGUUAUCUAUAGUGGAGGUUACUGGCUUAAUCUUGAAGUUUUUGCCUAGUUGGAUUUUCUCUGUCAACAUAUUUGAUGUUCUUUAUUACUUUCAUAUUGAUAUUUGCGAUAAUUCAAUUUGACUUAUUUGAUUAACCAACUAGAAACAAUUAAAAAGUGACUUGUUUUUUUAAUAGUGUAAUUCUGCACAUUGGGUUAAGGCUAAUUUGAACUUUCACAAUCAGAUCUUAGAGCAGAGUAUUAAUUUACUUUUCCUUCCCCUGAUCAGAUGUUUGAGGAUAACUAUAGUCAACUAAGUGCAGAAAAUACAGCAAGAAAUAAAUGUAUACUGCACAACAUGUAUACAAUCAAAGGACAUUACCGUUUGCAAAACAUUAUAAAGUGCAACUUCUCUUAAGUUUACAAGUAGUAAUGAGAACAAUUUUAUUGCUCAUUACAAAUCCAGAACUCUAAAAAAAUACUAAGAGAGACUAGAAAAACUCCAAAAUCUCAUCUAAUUAUCAGUUUUCUUUGCGUAUUGUAAGGAAUAAUAACAUAUUUCAUGUAUCUUUUCUAUGCAAACUUUUGACACUACAUGAACUUAAUUAAUUUGCUCAACUCCGGUACUGGUAAAAUGAAUUCAUAAACUGACUGCGAUAAGCUAUCAGAUGUUGGGCAAGGAUAUUAGAAAUUGGAUUUUCAACUCUAAUUUCAAUCUAGCUAGGCGUAUGUUGGCUCGAUAUCUUCUAAUUCAACUACCAGUUGAUUGCUAACACGAGUGUCAAGUAUCCAAGGCAUGACUUUGCAUGAGAAAACUCCAACUGAUCAUUGCAUUCAAGUUCUGGUUCUAAUUUGUAAAUUUUCGAAUAUCUUAUCCUUUGUCUGCUUCUACCGCCAUCAAGCUGCUAAAGAUAAUGAUCAAGUAAAAUACGUCAGGAAAAACACAAGCAAAGUAAAUGUAAACAUCAAUAUUUUACUAUUCCUUCGACAUUAUUGAAAUCACUUUAAUAAGUGACUAAUGCACAAACUCGUGUUACAUUUUAUGUCAAGUUAGGCUGUGAAAGGAAAGAAAGAUUUAACCGAACAUAUUCAACCAGUUCGAGCUUUUAUAUGAUUUUUAGACGAGCCACUUAUUGUACGCUUUGUUUGGUGAUGCUUUUUGAAAUUAUAAGCAGUGUUGUAUGUACUUCACAGUAUAUAAAGGGUAAUGGUGAUUAUUAAGUGACGAGACUUGGUGUUUAAGAGGUAAUGAAAAAGAUGAGACUUUGUUGAAAUCCGAGGGAUGGAACUGAAUUAAAGCAACAAAGCUUAAUAUAUUAUUUUUGGCUGCAGAUACAGUCAUCUUCAAUUGACAGUUAAUUCAUAUUUUUUAGGGAUUUAAAUAUCCUAAUAUAUUCUCAUCUUUUUCAUUAGCAUAUCGAAUUUGCUACCCUCUAAAUCAUAUACUUAUAUGUCUGAUCAUUUAAAGAAAAUGCUUGCAAUAUCUUUUAAAUCAUAUAUAUGUUGGUAGUAGAGCAUUAUACGAUGUUGGACAGGAAAAUGCACAAGUUGCAAAGUACAUUUCUGUGUGCGCGCAAACUUGAUAGCUGCUACUACUGACAUUGGAAUGCAUACAGAAACCGAUGCUCAUCCAAUUGUUGAAGAAUUAAUCCCGCAAUCUUCCAAGCAGUUUCCAAUAGAAGAUUGAAAAAGAAAGCCGCAAUAGUGAUCGUGCUGAGACUAAUGACGAAUCGAAUAAAUGCUUUGGGAAACAGUUUCUUUAUGUUUGCAAUAUCUUUUAAAUCAUAUAUAUGUUGGUAGUAGAGCUUUAAACAAUGUUGGACAGGCAAAUGUCCAAGUUACAAAGUACAUUCUAUGUGCGCGCAAACUUGACAGCUGCUACUACUGAGAUUGGAAUGAAUGUGCAGGAACCAAUGCUCAUCCAAUUGUUGAAGAAUCAAUCCAGCAAUCUUCCAAACAGUUUUCAAUAGGGGACUUGAAAAAGAAAGCUACAAUAGGGAUUGUGCUGAGACUAAAGACGCAUUGAAUAAAGGCUUUGGGAACAGUUUUCUUCAAUUCUGAGGAUGGUAGUGCUAUUGCAAGGAAAUCCCCUGCUACGGGUAUUGUAAAGAACUCCUAUAAUAUUGCAAAGAAAUCCUCUAGUGUUUUGUGCCAAUUGCAAUUCAACAAAUGAGCAGAGACAUUUUUUCACUGUUUCAAAUAGAGUGGUAGUGGAUCCAUAUUUAAAUAACGUCACAGCAGUUAAGCAAACGUUCUAUUUGGGAAUUUGUUGUCAAACGACCUCCUUGG